UCAUCUCAGCAAGCUUAGUGACCUCCAUGCCUAUAAAUUGAGAGUGGACCCAGGAAACUUCAAGUUGCUGUCUAAUUGCAUCCUUGCAGUACUGGCUAUACACUUCCCAGAGCAAUUCACAAUAACUGCUCAUGCUGGAUGGGAUAAGUUCCUCUCUGCUAUUUCAACUGUCCUGACUUCAAAGUACAGAUAAAAUGUCUGGGGAAAAAGUAAAACCUCCCAUGAAACUUUUUUGAUGUUUAAAACUAUAACUUUUUAUAUAUGGGAGUUAUACUAAUAAAUGAUAUUUGACAAAAUAAAAA
Spea bombifrons (plains spadefoot toad) is the source of this 302-nucleotide long non-coding RNA. RefSeq lists it as uncharacterized. The transcript has 2 exons. The record is from RefSeq and is a predicted model, not a curated record. Lineage: Eukaryota; Metazoa; Chordata; Amphibia; Anura; Pelobatidae.